GGUCACUAAGUUUUCCAGAGCUUAAUCUUAUUGGGUUAUUUUAAAGCUGCUUGGUAAGCUGGAACUUCAGGUGGGCAUCAUAAACUCAAGUCCAUACUUAAAAUGUCCAGGAGUUCCUGCUGUGGCUCAGUGGUAAUGACCCAACUAGUAUCCAUGAAGAUGCGGGUUCUAUCCCUGGCCUCACUCACGGGGUUAAGGAUCCAGUGACAUUGCUAUGAGCUGAGGUGUAGGUCGCAGGCGCAGUGUAGGUCACAGACAUGGCUCGGAUCUGGCAUUGCUGUGGCUGUGGUGUAGGCUGGUAGCUGCAGUUCCAAUUCAACCCCCAGUCUGGGAACUUCCAUAUGGCGAGGGUGCAGCCCUAAAAAGCAAGCAAACAAACAAGAAUGUCCAGACUCUGGGUGUGAACAGGGUUAUCACACUGUAAAAUGCCUAUCCUAGGCUGCAACUCAGAAAAACAAAAGCUGCUUUUCAAAAAGUUGUUUUUCUCAUCACAAGGGGCAAGAAGAUGAAACUGUUAGCUAUACGAGAAGGUCUGCCUGACCAGACCUGCAAGUUUGACAGCAAGUGGAUGCAGCCACAGCCAACUGGGGGUGGGGUGGUCAGGGCAUGGCCAGAGGCAUAAACACUACCUUCCAACCCUCUCAGCUCAACCUGCAAAAGCCAGAGGGCAAGGGAGCCGGAGCUGAUUGAGGCAGCCUGCAGAGGUCAGCUUCCCAAACAGAGCAGAGCAAGGUUGGACCCAAAGAAGGUACAGAGGCUAUCUCACACAGGUAGCAGGCUGACACAUUUAUUUAAACAGUUCUGUGGGAGUUCCUGUUGUGGCUUAGUAGGCCAAGAACCUAACUAGUAUCAGUGAGGAUGAGGGUUCGAUUCCUGGCCUCACUCAGUGGGUUAAAGAUCUGGCGUUGCUAAGAGCUGUGGUGUAGGUUGCAGACUUGGCUCAGAUUCUGAGUUGCUGUGGCUGUGGCCAAGGUCCAGCUGCAGCUCUGAUUCAACCCUAGCCUGGAAACUUCCAUAUUCUAUAGGUGUGGGAAAAAAAAAAAUGGAGUUCCCUUCGUGGCGCAGUGGUUAACGAAUCCGACUAGGAACCAUGAGGUUGCAGGGAUCGAACCCGAAACCUCAUGGUUCUUAGAUUUGUUAACCACUGAGCCACGACGGGAACUCCUGCUCUCUUGUUUCUUUAACUGUAAAUAUUCCAGCUAAUUUGACUGAGGCAUGAUUAAUGAUCCUUUAAACUUUCAGGUGUUAUUCAUUCCCUUGAAUCUUUGAAGUUGGCUCUUGGCAAAACUGUAAAUGAAAGGUUUGUUUUCUAGGCCCAUCUGCAUGCUUUUUAGAUCUUUUUGGUUCCCUGCUAGCAAUAGCAACUUUAGCCCCAGAGUUCUCUCACCAUGGGAGCAAUGGGCUCGCCAAUCCCAACCUGCUCUCUAAGCCUGUGCCUGCAUUCAAUGGGCAAUUAAAACUCAAUUAUACAGUUCUACUGUUUUCCUCAACAUAAAAGCAAUACAUGCUCAUGUUGUCCAACUUGAGAAUACAGAAAAGCAAAAGAAAAUAAAAAUCUGUUAUAAUCUUGUUAUUCAAAAUCAGAUGCCACUGUUCCUUGUUCCUCUCAAAAGUGUUGUUGGCACUUUUAACGCCACUCAUCUGUGCAUAGUCCCUUUCCUCCCCGACCCUGCUCUGCCUUCCAAGUUCACUCUGUGAGGCAGAGGUAAUGACUGAAUAAGUAAACACUUGAAAGUAUAUUACCUUGAGACCUUAGGCACCUGUUGAGGAAAAAAUACAUAAAUAGUACAUAAUAAAACCAAUUGGGACAUCUGAGGUUGGCUAGUUUACAGUGGAAUUCAUUGGCUCAUAGGACCUGAAUGUAUAGAGGUAGGAUGGGCUGCAGGUGUGGUUUGAUCUAGAGAUUGAAAGAGUCAAAAAGGAAAUGGUUUCUUUCUAACCCCUCUCUCUGCUUUCUCCACAAUGUUCAUCUCUUCCUAAGGUAAGUGCUUCUUGCAGUCAAAAUGGCAGCCUUAUCAGCAGUUUCUAGCACUACUUACUGCCUGGCUCCUGUCUAACAGGAUAUGAGAGCAUCUGUCUGUGACCCAUAAAUUCCUGGGAUCCCUUUUGAUUGGAUCAGCCUGGUUCCUAUGACCACCCCUGAACCAACCCUAGUGGCAAGGAAGAUGAGACAAUUAUGCAUAGUUGAGACUAGUAGGCCUCAAACUCUAGUCUCAGGACUGCUCAUAAAAAUUAAUGAGGAGCCCACAGAAUCUUUUUGAUGGAGAUUUUUAUCUAUUGAUACUUGCCAAAUUAGAAAUUAAAUUCAGGAAUUCCCAUCGUGGCGCAGCGAAAACGAAUCUGACUAGGAACUAUGAGGUUGCAGGUUUGAUCCCUGGCCUCAUUCAGUGGGUUAAGGAUCUGGUAUUGCUGCGAGCUGUGGUGUAGGCUGGCAGCUGUAGCUCCAAUUCAACCCCUAGCCUGGGAACCUCCAUAUGCCGAAAGUGCGGCCCUAAGAAAAAAAAAAGCAAAAACAAAAGAAACCUCCCAACAGACAAAAGUCCAGGAACAGACAGCUUCAUGAGUGAAUUCCACCAAACAUUUCGAGAAAGGUUAACCCUACCUUUCUCAAACUAUUCCAGAAAACAGCAGAGGAAGGAACAUGUCUGAAUACAUUCUGUGAGGCCAGUAUCACCCACCCUGAUACUAAGACCAGAUAAAGAUAGCACCCAAAAAAGAAAAUUACAGACUAACAUCACUGAUGCAAAAAUCAACAAAAUAUUAGCAAACAAAAUUCAAAUCCUACAUUAAUCCCACAUUAAAACGAUCAUACAUUAUGACUAAAUGGGACUUAUCCCAAGGAUGCAAGGAUGGUUCAGUAUCCACAAAUCAACCAAAGUGACACAGAUUAACAAACUAAAGACUGAAAUAGGAGCAUCUCAAUAGAUACAGAAUAAACUUUUGACAAAAGUCAACAUCCAUUUUUGAUGAAAAACUCUCAAUACAGGGGACCAUGCUGCAACAUAUAAAGACCAUGUAUGACAGGCCCGCAGCCAGUAUCAUACUUAAUGGCAAAAGCUGAAAGCAUUUUCUCUAAGAAGGAAGCAUUUUCUCACAGGAAGAAGACAACGAUGCCCACUCUUACCACUUUUAUUCAGCAUAGUGUUGGAAAUCAUAGCCACAGCAAUCAGACAAGAAGAAAUGAAAGAAAUCCCAAUUAGAAAAGAAGUAAAACUGUCACUGUUUUUAGAUGACAUGAUACUAUACAUAGAAAAUCCUAAAGAUGUUACCAAAAAAAAAAAAAAA
This 3285-nucleotide long non-coding RNA is filed under the name Sus scrofa (pig). Its description in RNAcentral is "lncRNA (ENSSSCG00025076478.1)". Lineage: Eukaryota; Metazoa; Chordata; Mammalia; Artiodactyla; Suidae. The record is from RNAcentral.